Molecule: small RNA, 555 nt
Filed under: Pan troglodytes (chimpanzee)
Lineage: Eukaryota; Metazoa; Chordata; Mammalia; Primates; Hominidae
Description: retained intron
Source: RNAcentral
GGAAUCCCAGGAUUUCCUGGAAACCGAGGAUUAAUGGGCCAAAAGGGAGAAAUUGGGCCUCCAGGACAGCAAGGAAAAAAAGGAGCCCCAGGGAUGCCUGGUUUAAUGGGAAGCAAUGGCUCACCAGGCCAGCCUGGAACACCGGGAUCUAAGGGAAGCAAAGGUGAACCUGGAAUUCAAGGGAUGCCUGGGGCUUCUGGGCUCAAGGGAGAGCCAGGAGCAAUGGGUUCCCCAGGAGAACCAGGAUACAUGGGUUUACCCGGGAUUCAAGGAAAAAAGGUAUGCAUUGGUUAGGAGAUACAGUUCGCUUUUAACCAGUUACUUGCAAACAAGUUUUUCUUUUGUGAAAUUCUUAAAGUAGGACUUGUUAUUAAUAUAUUUUUAAUGAUAAAGUACCCUAUAUAUUCGAUGUAUGUAUAAUAUGUUCAGCCCCAUGCUAAUAGCUGUGGCAUCUUUUAUAUACCCACAUGGGUAUUGUCUCCUAGAUGAAGACCUUAGAAAAGACAUGCAGAUCAGAAAAUAUGAAUGUACAAUUAAGUAAUAUCCUGUAAAUUC